Molecule: long non-coding RNA, 531 nt
Organism: Phyllostomus discolor (pale spear-nosed bat)
Lineage: Eukaryota; Metazoa; Chordata; Mammalia; Chiroptera; Phyllostomidae
Exons: 2
Source: RefSeq, a predicted model, not a curated record
GGGAGCCGGAGUUUGGCAGCGGCAGGCUGGACCCCGCGCCUGGAGCCUCUCUCAAGUCGAACUUUCUGCUCUCUUAUCCUUGCAGUCGCUGCCACCAUUUCACAGAUGGAAGACCGGGGCAUAGAGAGAUCAAAUGAGGCCCAAAGUCACGGGGCGGCUGCAAUAGGGGAGGAUUGAAUUCGGUCAACGUGUCCCCAAGGCUGAUCAAAGUACAAUCUGGCGAUGAGCUGCAGUGUUUUAACUGCUCCCUGUGGCUCAGAAACCAGACCUCCAGGCACUCAACUUAAAGACCUGGCUGAUCCUUUGUGAUGAUGAAGACUGAGGCCAUUCACUGAAUGAAGCUUGCUCAGAACAGAGACAGGAAAUGACCUCAUGCCCACCAGCAGGGACGCACUAGACAGGUGACAAAUCUGGCUGUCCCUGGAGGGGGGGGCAGGUGCUCAGAAGGAGGGGGCAGAACUUCAUAUGCGAAUAUGGGCUUAUUGUGAUUGUACUGCCAAAUAAAACAAUUACAAACCUUGCUUAGUAUGA